This 253-nucleotide ribosomal RNA is filed under the name uncultured bacterium. RNAcentral describes it as "partial 16S ribosomal RNA". It matches the Rfam family "Bacterial small subunit ribosomal RNA", at positions 524 to 776 of the family's 1533-position model. The record is from RNAcentral.
UACGUAGGGUGCAAACGUUAUCCGGAUUUACUGGGCGUAAAGAGUGCGCAGGCGGCGGGGCAAGUCCGAUGUGAAAUCUCCCGGCUUAACUGGGAAACUGCAUCGGAAACUGACCGGCUUGAAGGUGGGAGAGGGUAGUGGAAUUCCCGGUGUAGUGGUGAAAUGCGUAGAUAUCGGGAGGAACACCAGUGGCGAAGGCGACUACCUGGCCCAUUCUUGACGCUGAGGCGCGAAAGCUAGGGGAGCGAACGGG